This 67-nucleotide microRNA precursor is filed under the name Bombyx mori (domestic silkworm). RNAcentral's name for it is "mir-2774 microRNA precursor family". It matches the Rfam family "mir-2774 microRNA precursor family". The record is from Rfam by way of RNAcentral. Lineage: Eukaryota; Metazoa; Arthropoda; Insecta; Lepidoptera; Bombycidae.
ACAACAUUCCGAUCGUCGGUCUACCGAGCAACUUCACCCGCCCGCUGGAAGAUCUUCGCUAUGUCGU